Long non-coding RNA from Ostrinia nubilalis (European corn borer), 1394 nucleotides. RefSeq lists it as uncharacterized. The record is from RefSeq and is a predicted model, not a curated record. The transcript is spliced from 6 exons. Lineage: Eukaryota; Metazoa; Arthropoda; Insecta; Lepidoptera; Crambidae.
UUGUAGAACUAACAAUAUUCUAUUUAUUAAUUACAGAAACUACGGAAACUAUUUUUAAGAAUUACAACAAAUUCUAUGAGGUCACUGCCUUUAAUUUUCAUGAACGAUCUAUUCUUUAUAGUUUGCAAAUGAACAAUGACUCUGUAGUUUUCUUGAAUGGUGUAACAAAUGAAGCUGCAAUACCGAUGCACGUUAUUGUGGACAAAUGCUGUGUUAAACAGUUUGAACAACAACUUCAAUAUGAAGGAAUUGAAUACGUAAUGCAUGAUGAUUUAUUUACAAGAGGAGGUCAAUAUUAUCAAGGACAGAAUAAAUCAUUAGUAGGGAAUACCAUUAAAUUUUACAGUAUGAGUGAUGGAUUCCUUAAAUGGGAAGAUAUAGGAAUGUGGAUAAGCAGACAACAAAAAUUGAAUCCUUUAUUGGAGAAAAUAGUAAUUUCUAAUACAUAUGAGAAAAGAGAGCUGUUCAUACUAUCUAUUGCCAAAUGGAAAGAAAAUCCUGCAGUAGUCAUUGUUGGUGGGGAACAAGGAAAAGAUUGGAUGUCAUCAGCAAUCAUUUUUAAAAUUAUUAACGACCUUCAGAGCAAUAAAGAUUUCAUUGUUUUAAUGGAGUAUUACAAUUUUUAUUUUCUCCCCAUUUUAAAUCCAGAUGGAUAUGCCUUUAGCAUGGCCAAGGAUAGAUUCUGGGACAAGAAUAGAAAAGCAUUUUUCCCAAAAAAGAAGUGUUAUUCAGAAUAUUAUUUAAAUAAAGAUAUUGCAGUGGGAGUAAACAUUGAUAGAAAUUGGUACUUUGGAACAUCUUUAGGUUUUGGAGAUGGCAGUGAGUGCGACUCAAUUUACAUGGGUCAUAAACCCCUAUGUGAGGAAGAACCAAAAGCUCUGUCAGAAUUUCUCAAUAGUCAUGCAACCAGCUUAAUGGCAUUUUUUAAUUUGAAAGGUUUUGGUGGCAGACUCAUAACUUUGCCAUAUUGUGAUACUACUAUGCAAUCUUAUAAUCAUGGAGUCUUGAUGGAGAUAAUUAUGUCUGCAUGUGAAAAGGUACAUCAGAAGUAUAAUUCUACCUACUACCAUGGCAGUACAGGCAGAUUUUUUUACAAUGUUUCGGGUAACAGUGCAGAUUGGAUCAAGAAACAUUUUAAUGUACCCAUAGUUUCUACAAUACAUAUGCAAUAUAAAGAAGAAAACUUUCCACAAUCUGCACACAUAGGAUACUUAACACAGGAAUUUAUUACAAUAAUAAAUGAGAUUCUAUUAAUAAGUAAAGAGAUCUAUGGGCCAUUGUUUAACCAUCAGACAAGGCAUACUAAAAAUACUUACACAUAUCUAGCUCUAAUGGUAGGAGCACAUAAAUUACUUAAUAAGAUUUCUAUGCAAAUAACUGAUAAAUAAUUUUAA